AGUGAACGCCGGCGGCGUGCUUAACACAUGCAAGUCGAACGGAUGAAAUAAGCUUGCUUAUUUCGUUAGUGGCGCACGGGUGAGUAAUGUAUAGCUACCCUGCCCUUUAGUGGGGGACAACAGUUGGAAACGACUGCUACUACCCCAUACUCCUUCUUAUCAUCAGGUAAGUCGGGAAAGAUUUAUUGCUAAAGGAUGGGGCUUUAUUGUAUCAGCUUGUUGGUGGGGUAAGGGCCUACCAAGGCGAUGACGCAUACCUGGUCUGAGAGGAUGAUCAGGCACACUGGAACUGAGACACGGUCCAGACUCCUACGGGAGGCAGCAGUGGGGAAUAUUGCACAAUGGGGGAAACCCUGAUGCAGCAACGCCGCGUGGAGGAUGACGCAUUUCGGUGUGUAAACUCCUUUUAUAAGGGAAGAUAAUGACGGUACCUUAUGAAUAAGCACCGGCUAACUCCGUGCCAGCAGCCGCUGUAA
Molecule: ribosomal RNA, 476 nt
Filed under: uncultured bacterium
Lineage: Bacteria
Description: partial 16S ribosomal RNA
Rfam family: Bacterial small subunit ribosomal RNA
Source: RNAcentral